AGUGAACGCUGGCGGCGUGCCUAAUACAUGCAAGUCGAACGGCCGCACAGUAAGCGUUCUCCUCUACGGGUGGCGAGUGGCGGAUGGGUGACGAAUACAUCGGCAUCUUAUUUUUCGUGGGGGAUUACGUAGGGCCACAUAUGCUACCACCUCAUAUGUUCUACCGGUUAAAUCAACAGAUCAACGCACACUGCGCGUUUCAUUGAGCUGAUGUCGCAUUAGCUAGUUGGCGGGGUAAAGGACCACCAAGGCGACGCUACGUAGCUGGUCUGAGAGGAUGAACAGCCACACUGGAACUGAGACACGGUCCAGACUCCUACGGGAGGCAGCAGUGGGGAAUAUUGGACAAUGGGCGCAAGCCUGAUCCAGCCAUACCGCGUGGGUGAAGAAGGCCUUCGGGUUGUAAAGCCCUUUUGUUGGGAAAGAAAAGCAGCAGGUUAAUACCCCGCUGUUCUGACGGUACCCAAAGAAUAAGCACCGGCUAACUUCGUG
RNAcentral lists this ribosomal RNA (492 nucleotides) under uncultured bacterium. Its description in RNAcentral is "partial 16S ribosomal RNA". It matches the Rfam family "Bacterial small subunit ribosomal RNA", at positions 29 to 507 of the family's 1533-position model. The record is from RNAcentral.